GAAAUGAACAGAGGAGGCGGCAGCAGGGAGGUAGCCAAAACGCAGUGGGAGAGAUUUAAGUUAUAUGGGAGAUGCAAUGAAUUCAUGUGUUAACAGAAAGGGGUCCUGAUUCAGACACCAAAAGAGGGUUCUUGAAUCUCAUGCCAGAAAGAUUUCGGGAUUCUCACCCUGUUGCCUAGGCUGGAGUGCAGUGACGCGAUUUUGGCCUAAUGCAGCCUCUGCCUCCCAGGUUCAAGCGAUUCUUCCGCCUCAGCCUCCCUAGUAACUGGGAUUACAGCAAAUCUAAUUGAGAAAAAAACCAACCAGAGUCAGUGUCCAGUAAUGGCUCUGCAAUGCGCAGCCUCCGAAUGUGACGACCACAGGCUCUGCUUGCCUUUUACCUGACUGCCAGCACCCUGCAGAGCAGCAUCAAAGUUCUGGAGGCCAGAAAUUUGAAAUGAGUCUUAUGGAGCUGAAAUCAAGCACAAACCAAAGCUGGGCUUCAUCUGGAUGCUCUAUGAAAGAUUCCUUUGCUCGCCUCUUCCAAUUCCUGGUGGUUGCUGGCAUUCCUUGCAUUGUAGACUCGUCAUCCCAACGUCUUCCUCCUUGGCCCCAUUGCCUUCUCCUCUCCUGUGUGGGCAUCAUCAACUCUCCCUUUCCCUCCCUCUUAAAAGGAUAUGAAUGUGACUGCUUUAGGACCUACCUGGAUAAUUCAGAAUAAUCUCCCCAUCUCAAGACCCUUAACAUAAUCACAUAUGCAAAGAACUUCUCUUUUCUUUAAUCAUAUGAGUUAACAUGUACAAAUUUCAGAGAUGAGAACAUGGAUAUCUUUAGGGUGCCAUUUUUUCAGUCCAUUGGAAAUGGUAGAUGUGGAAGAAGAGGAGCUAAAAUUCAAUCAGACUAGGGGUCUGCAAUCUGUAGCCUGCAAGUCAGUGCCUGUUUUUGUAAAUAAAGUUUUAUUGGAGCACA
This 948-nucleotide long non-coding RNA is filed under the name Homo sapiens (human). RNAcentral describes it as "uncharacterized LOC105370349, transcript variant 1 (LOC105370349)". Lineage: Eukaryota; Metazoa; Chordata; Mammalia; Primates; Hominidae. The record is from RNAcentral.